RNAcentral lists this ribosomal RNA (354 nucleotides) under Triticum aestivum (bread wheat). RNAcentral describes it as "partial small subunit ribosomal RNA". The record is from RNAcentral. Lineage: Eukaryota; Viridiplantae; Streptophyta; Magnoliopsida; Poales; Poaceae.
AUGUCUUCUUCCUCCAGUUCGGCUUCCUUCUCUAGCUUGAACAACACAAUCUCUGAACCUCUUAGCCGCACCAACUACAUCCUAUGGCGUGCCCAGGCUCGCUCUCAGAUCAUGGGAGCCGGUCUCUACGGGUACCUUGACCAAACAACUCCUGAACCUACCAAAAUAAUCACGUCCAAAAACUCUGAAGGAAAGGAAUAGAUUGUUCCAAAUCCUGACUAUGCCCCUUGGUUAAUCCAAGACCAGCAGAUCGUAACCUACCUGCUGAGAAACCUCUCCAAAGAAAUCCUAGUUCAGGUUGCCUCGAUGGAGACAUCGCAUGCAAUCUGGACAUCCCUUGCAAACAUGUUCGCA